AUCCUGUUCCAGUUCAUAAGCGUGAUGAUUGUGUUCUCAUGUAUUUCCGUGACAUGCGCCUCCCUCUAAACCUUGUUACAAUAUGGGCUUGUAACCCAUAUGAUG
RNAcentral lists this small nucleolar RNA (105 nucleotides) under Dipodomys ordii (Ord's kangaroo rat). Its description in RNAcentral is "Small nucleolar RNA U13". It matches the Rfam family "Small nucleolar RNA U13". Lineage: Eukaryota; Metazoa; Chordata; Mammalia; Rodentia; Heteromyidae. The record is from Rfam by way of RNAcentral.